Molecule: small nucleolar RNA, 180 nt
Filed under: Talaromyces stipitatus ATCC 10500
Lineage: Eukaryota; Fungi; Ascomycota; Eurotiomycetes; Eurotiales; Trichocomaceae
Source: RNAcentral
AUUCGGGUUGAUAACUAGGCAGCGAUCUCGAUCUUAAACCCACUCUACGACGUCUGCCCUUUAAGUACCCGAGAUAUCAAACCAAGGAGAAUUAUUCAAAUUCUUUGAUGGAGAUCUUACACGUUUUCCGGACCUUUCAUUUUCGCUGUGCUUGUUAACGUUUAAAUUUCCGUUACAUUU